UAGGGAAUCUUCCACAAUGGGCGAAAGCCUGAUGGAGCAACGCCGCGUGAGUGAUGAAGGUUUUCGGAUCGUAAAACUCUGUUGUUAGGGAAGAACACCCGAGAGAGGAUCUCGGACUGACGGUACCUAACGAGAAAGCCCCGGCUAACUACGUGCCAGCAGCCGCGGUAAUACGUAGGGGGCAAGCGUUGUCCGGAUUUACUGGGUGUAAAGGGUGCUCAGGCGGAUUUGUAAGUCAGAGGUGAAAUCUUACAGCUUAACUGUGAAACUGCCUUUGNUACUGCAAGCCUAGAGUAUGGAAGAGAGUGAUGGAAUAUCUGGUGUAGCAGUGAAAUGCGUAGAUAUCAGAUAGAACACCAAUGGCGAAGGCAGUCACUUGGUCCAUUACUGACGCUAAAGCACGAAAGCGUGGGUAGCAGACA
This 422-nucleotide ribosomal RNA is filed under the name uncultured bacterium. Its description in RNAcentral is "bacterial SSU rRNA". It matches the Rfam family "Bacterial small subunit ribosomal RNA", at positions 355 to 774 of the family's 1533-position model. The record is from RNAcentral.